CUACGGGCGGCAGCAGUGGGGAAUAUUGCACAAUGGGCGCAAGCCUGAUGCAGCAACGCCGCGUGAACGAAGAAGGUCUUCGGAUCGUAAAGUUCUUUUCUUAGGGAAGAAAAAUGACGGUACCUAAGGAAUAAGCACCGGCUAAAUACGUGCCAGCAGCCGCGGUAAUACGUAUGGUGCAAGCGUUAUCCGGAAUCACUGGGCGUAAAGGGAGCGUAGGCGGUUUUGCAAGUCAGAAGUGAAAGGCUACGGCUCAACCGUGGUAAGCUUUUGAAACUGCAAGACUAGAGUGCAGGAGAGGCAAGUGGAAUACCUAGUGUAGAGGUGAAAUUCGUAGAUAUUAGGAGGAACACCAGUGGCGAAGGCGACUUGCUGGACUGUAACUGACGCUGAGGCUCGAAAGCGUGGGGAGCGAACAGGAUUAGAUACCCGCGUAGUC
This 439-nucleotide ribosomal RNA is filed under the name uncultured bacterium. RNAcentral's name for it is "partial 16S ribosomal RNA". It matches the Rfam family "Bacterial small subunit ribosomal RNA", at positions 339 to 795 of the family's 1533-position model. The record is from RNAcentral.